GACGUAGGGCGCGAGCGUUGUCCGGAUUUAUUGGGCGUAAAGGGCUCGUAGGCGGCCCUCUCAGUCGGAUGUGAAAUCCCCAGGCUUAACCUGGGAACGGCAUCCGAUACUGGAUGGCUAGAGUCUGGUAGGGGGAUCUGGAAUUCCUGGUGUAGCGGUGGAAUGCGCAGAUAUCAGGAGGAACACCGGUGGCGAAGGCGGGUCUCUGGGCAACAACUGACGCUGAGGAGCGAAAGCGUGGGGAGCGAACAGG
RNAcentral lists this ribosomal RNA (253 nucleotides) under uncultured bacterium. Its description in RNAcentral is "partial 16S ribosomal RNA". It matches the Rfam family "Bacterial small subunit ribosomal RNA", at positions 524 to 776 of the family's 1533-position model. The record is from RNAcentral.